Heterocephalus glaber (naked mole-rat) is the source of this 496-nucleotide long non-coding RNA. RefSeq lists it as uncharacterized. The record is from RefSeq and is a predicted model, not a curated record. NCBI's taxonomy places the organism in Eukaryota, Metazoa, Chordata, Mammalia, Rodentia, Bathyergidae.
GGUAAGGAAAAUGGAGAGGAGGGAGGUGAAGUAACCUGUCCAAUGGGACCAACUAGAAGGGUCCAAGUGCUGGGGAUCGUGUAUGCUGUGCAAGUGUUGUAUCACUGAGCUAUAUCCCAGACACAUCAUCGUUCUUGAACAUGUUUUCCUUGAGCUUUGUAUUUUGAUUUCACAGAAUUUUAGAAACUGCCCUAAUUUGGGCUAAUGAAGAUUUUGAAAACACUGCUGCUUUUUAGUGACUCUAUUACCUUUUCUGGAACUCGCAGACACUACUAGAGAAUAAUAUUCCUAAAUGUGAGGCUACUUUCUAUAAAUUUCUUUUCCUGAGAUUUUGGUCUUUUAAUUAUUGACUCCUUGUAAUCUUUAUUAUGCUUUCAGAAAAUGAUUUUUAUAUUAUUUACAUAUGUCUUAAAAAAUGUUCUAAGUGGACUUGCAAACACCCCAAGUGGCCAUCAGCUGGAAAAUGGAUAAAGAAGAUGUGGGUUUUUUUUUUUUA